Molecule: ribosomal RNA, 448 nt
Filed under: uncultured bacterium
Lineage: Bacteria
Description: bacterial SSU rRNA
Rfam family: Bacterial small subunit ribosomal RNA
Source: RNAcentral
UGGGGAAUCUUGCGCAAUGGGCGAAAGCCUGACGCAGCGACGCCGCGUGCGGGAAGAAGGCCUUCGGGUUGUAAACCGCUUUCAGGAGGGACGAAGCCACUCGGGUGAAUAGCCCAGAGGGUGACGGUACCUUCAGAAGAAGCCCCGGCUAACUACGUGCCAGCAGCCGCGGUAAUACGUAGGGGGCUAGCGUUGUCCGGAUUCAUUGGGCGUAAAGCGCGUGUAGGCGGCCAGGUAGGUCCGUUGUGAAAACCCGAGGCUUAACCUCGGGACGCCGACGGAAACCCCUUGGCUAGGGUCCGGAAGAGGAGAGUGGAAUUCCCGGUGUAGCGGUGAAAUGCGCAGAUAUCGGGAAGAACACCCGUGGCGAAGGCGGCUCUCUGGGACGGUACCGACGCUGAGACGCGAAAGCGUGGGGAGCGAACAGGAUUAGAUACCCCCGUAGUCC